This 301-nucleotide ribosomal RNA is filed under the name uncultured bacterium. RNAcentral describes it as "partial 16S ribosomal RNA". It matches the Rfam family "Bacterial small subunit ribosomal RNA", at positions 509 to 807 of the family's 1533-position model. The record is from RNAcentral.
CAGCCGCCGCGGGAAUACGUAGGGUGCAAGCGUUAAUCGGAAUUACUGGGCGUAAAGCGCACGUAGGCGGAUAUUUAAGUCAGGGGUGAAAUCCCAGAGCUCAACUCUGGAACUGCCUUUGAUACUGGGUAUCUUGAGUAUGGAAGAGGUGAGUGGAAUUCCGAGUGUAGAGGUGGAAUUCGUAGAUACUCGGAGGAACACCAGUGGCGAAGGCGGCUCACUGGUCCAUUACUGACGCUGAGGUGCGAAAGCGUGGGGAGCAAACAGGAUUAGAUACCCGUGUAGUCCCUGUCUCUUAUAC